RNAcentral lists this ribosomal RNA (425 nucleotides) under uncultured bacterium. RNAcentral describes it as "partial 16S ribosomal RNA". It matches the Rfam family "Bacterial small subunit ribosomal RNA", at positions 354 to 796 of the family's 1533-position model. The record is from RNAcentral.
GUGGGGAAUAUUGCACAAUGGGGGAAACCCUGAUGCAGCGACGCCGCGUGAGUGAAGAAGUAUUUCGGUACGUAAAGCUCUAUCAGCAAGGAAGAAAAUGACGGUACUUGACUAAGAAGCCCCGGCUAACUACGUGCCAGCAGCCGCGGUAAUACGUAGGGGGCAAGCGUUAUCCGGAUUUACUGGGUGUAAAGGGAGCGUAGACGGUAUGGUAAGUCAGAUGUGAAAGCCCGGGGCUCAACCCCGGGACUGCAUUUGAAACUAUCAGGCUGGAGUGCAGGAGAGGUAAGUGGAAUUCCUAGUGUAGCGGUGAAAUGCGUAGAUAUUAGGAGGAACACCAGUGGCGAAGGCGGCUUUCUGGACGGUGUCUGACACUGAGGCGCGAAAGCCAGGGGAGCGAACGGGAUUAGAUACCCGGGUAGUCC